UGGGGAAUUUUGGACAAUGGGGGAAACCCUGAUCCAGCCAUCCCGCGUGUGCGAUGAAGGCCUUCGGGUUGUAAAGCACUUUUGGCAGGAAAGAAACGUCAUGGGUUAAUACCCCGUGAAACUGACGGUACCUGCAGAAUAAGCACCGGCUAACUACGUGCCAGCAGCCGCGGUAAUACGUAGGGUGCAAGCGUUAAUCGGAAUUACUGGGCGUAAAGCGUGCGCAGGCGGUUCGGAAAGAAAGAUGUGAAAUCCCAGAGCUCAACUUUGGAACUGCAUUUUUAACUACCGGGCUAGAGUGUGUCAGAGGGAGGUGGAAUUCCGCGUGUAGCAGUGAAAUGCGUAGAUAUGCGGAGGAACACCGAUGGCGAAGGCAGCCUCCUGGGAUAACACUGACGCUCAUGCACGGAAGCGUGGGGAGCAAACAGG
This 429-nucleotide ribosomal RNA is filed under the name Acidobacteriota bacterium. Its description in RNAcentral is "Acidobacteria bacterium partial 16S ribosomal RNA". It matches the Rfam family "Bacterial small subunit ribosomal RNA", at positions 355 to 776 of the family's 1533-position model. Lineage: Bacteria; Pseudomonadati; Acidobacteriota. The record is from RNAcentral.